Molecule: ribosomal RNA, 471 nt
Filed under: Leptothrix sp. oral taxon 025
Lineage: Bacteria; Pseudomonadati; Pseudomonadota; Betaproteobacteria; Burkholderiales; Sphaerotilaceae
Description: bacterial SSU rRNA
Rfam family: Bacterial small subunit ribosomal RNA
Source: RNAcentral
AUUGAACGCUGGCGGCAUGCCUUACACAUGCAAGUCGAACGGCAGCGCGGGAGCAAUCCUGGCGGCGAGUGGCGAACGGGUGAGUAAUAUAUCGGAACGUGCCCAGUAGUGGGGGAUAGCCCGGCGAAAGCCGGAUUAAUACCGCAUACGACCUGAGGGUGAAAGCGGGGGAUCGCAAGACCUCGCGCUACUGGAGCGGCCGAUAUCAGAUUAGCUAGUUGGUGGGGUAAAGGCCUACCAAGGCAACGAUCUGUAGUUGGUCUGAGAGGACGACCAGCCACACUGGGACUGAGACACGGCCCAGACUCCUACGGGAGGCAGCAGUGGGGAAUUUUGGACAAUGGGUGCAAGCCUGAUCCAGCAAUGCCGCGUGCAGGAAGAAAGCCUUCGGGUUGUAAACUGCUUUUGUCAGGGAAGAAAUCUUCUGGGCUAAUAUCCCGGGAGGAUGACGUACCUGAAGAAUAAGCACCG